AGAGCGAACGCUGGCGGCAGGCCUAACACAUGCAAGUCGAACGGACUCUUCGGAGUUAGUGGCGGACGGGUGAGUAACACGUGGGAACGUGCCUUUUGGUUCGGAAUAGCUCCUGGAAACGGGUGGUAAUGCCGAAUGUGCCCUUCGGGGGAAAGAUUUAUCGCCAUUAGAGCGGCCCGCGUCUGAUUAGCUAGUUGGUGAGGUAAAGGCUCACCAAGGCGACGAUCAGUAGCUGGUCUGAGAGGAUGACCAGCCACAUUGGGACUGAGACACGGCCCAAACUCCUACGGGAGCAGCAGUGGGGAAUCUUGCGCAAUGGGCGAAAGCCUGACGCAGCCAUCGCCGCGUGAAUGAUGAAGGUCUUAGGAUUAGUAAAAUUUCUUACGAACCGGGGUACAAGUAAUAGGAACCGGUACCCGGAAGAAACGAACG
This 432-nucleotide ribosomal RNA is filed under the name uncultured soil bacterium. RNAcentral's name for it is "bacterial SSU rRNA". It matches the Rfam family "Bacterial small subunit ribosomal RNA", at positions 26 to 495 of the family's 1533-position model. The record is from RNAcentral.